GUUGAGUAUUGUUUCAUGAUCAUCCAGUAUAGAUGUGGACGUGAACAGCCAAGAUGAGAAUAGCGUAGAGAGUGAAAAAGAUGAGAGUGUGAACAGCAAUAGCCUUGCCGUUAGUUUUCAUGCUUCCAAACUCCAGGUGGCGGCUGUGUCCGGGAAUCUGAAAGAGAAGUCCCGGCGUCAGCAGCACGAACAGAACCACACCAAUCAAUACAGGCCCCCAAUCGGCCAUUAAAUGGAAAGAUUGGAGAUUUGGUUACUGUUUGAAAUUUUGUUUUGUUGUUGUUUCAGAUUAAAGAGAAGUGAAGUGAAACUGUACAAGCGACUUAAAUGGUUCGCUUAAAGAUGAGGCUAUGGCUCAUAGAUAUCGGAGCGAGUGAG
RNAcentral lists this unclassified non-coding RNA (378 nucleotides) under Hevea brasiliensis (rubber tree). The record is from RNAcentral. Lineage: Eukaryota; Viridiplantae; Streptophyta; Magnoliopsida; Malpighiales; Euphorbiaceae.